AACGAACGCUGGCGGCAUGCCUAACACAUGCAAGUCGAACGAAGUCUUCGGACUUAGUGGCGCACGGGUGCGUAACGCGUGGGAAUCUGCCCUUGGGUACGGAAUAACUCAGAGAAAUUUGUGCUAAUACCGUAUAAUGUCUUCGGACCAAAGAUUUAUCGCCCAAGGAUGAGCCCGCGUAAGAUUAGCUAGUUGGUGGGGUAAAAGCCUACCAAGGCGACGAUCUUUAGCUGAUCUGAGAGGAUGAUCAGCCACACUGGGACUGAGACACGGCCCAGACUCCUACGGGAGGCAGCAGUGGGGAAUAUUGGACAAUGGGCGAAAGCCUGAUCCAGCAAUGCCGCGUGAGUGAUGAAGGCCCUAGGGUUGUAAAGCUCUUUUACCAGGGAUGAUAAUGACAGUACCUGGAGAAUAAGCGCCGGCUAACUCCGUG
RNAcentral lists this ribosomal RNA (433 nucleotides) under uncultured bacterium. RNAcentral's name for it is "partial 16S ribosomal RNA". It matches the Rfam family "Bacterial small subunit ribosomal RNA", at positions 29 to 507 of the family's 1533-position model. The record is from RNAcentral.